UGCCAGCAGCCGCGGUAAUACGGAGGGUCCGAGCGUUAUCCGGAUUUAUUGGGUUUAAAGGGUGCGCAGGCGGAAUAAUCAGUCAGUGGUGAAAUCUCUCGGCUCAACCGAGAAACUGCCAUUGAUACUGUUAUUCUUGAGUAUAGUUGUAGUGGGCGGAAUAUAGCAUGUAGCGGUGAAAUGCUUAGAUAUGCUAUAGAACACCGAUCGCGAAGGCAGCUCACUAAACUAUAACUGACGCUCAGGCACGAAAGCGUGGGGAGCAAACAGGAUUAGAUA
This 279-nucleotide ribosomal RNA is filed under the name uncultured bacterium. Its description in RNAcentral is "partial 16S ribosomal RNA". It matches the Rfam family "Bacterial small subunit ribosomal RNA", at positions 506 to 784 of the family's 1533-position model. The record is from RNAcentral.